Molecule: ribosomal RNA, 492 nt
Filed under: uncultured bacterium
Lineage: Bacteria
Description: partial 16S ribosomal RNA
Rfam family: Bacterial small subunit ribosomal RNA
Source: RNAcentral
AGUGAACGCUGGCGGUAGGCCUAACACAUGCAAGUCGAACGGCAGCACAGUAAGAGCUUGCUCUUACGGGUGGCGAGUGGCGGACGGGUGAGGAAUACAUCGGAAUCUACUUUUUCGUGGGGGAUAACGUAGGGAAACUUACGCUAAUACCGCAUACGACCUACGGGUGAAAGCAGGGGAUCUUCGGACCUUGCGCGAUUGAAUGAGCCGAUGUCGGAUUAGCUAGUUGGCGGGGUAAAGGCCCACCAAGGCGACGAUCCGUAGCUGGUCUGAGAGGAUGAUCAGCCCAACUUGAACUGAGACACCGUCCAGACUCCUACGGGAGGCAGCAGUGGGGAAUAUUGGACAAUGGGCGCAAGCCUGAUCCAGCCAAACCGCGUGGGUGAAGAAGGCCUUCGGGUUGUAAAGCCCUUUUGUUGGGAAAGAAAAGCAGCAGGUUAAUACCCCGCUGUUCUGACGGUACCCAAAGAAUAAGCACCGGCUAACUUCGUG